RNAcentral lists this ribosomal RNA (484 nucleotides) under uncultured bacterium. RNAcentral's name for it is "partial 16S ribosomal RNA". It matches the Rfam family "Bacterial small subunit ribosomal RNA", at positions 28 to 523 of the family's 1533-position model. The record is from RNAcentral.
GACGAACGCUGGCGGCGUGCUUAACACAUGCAAGUCGAACGAUGAAGCCGGAGCUUGCUCUGGUGAAUUAGUGGCGAACGGGUGAGUAACACGUGAGUAACCUGCCCUUGACUCUGGGAUAACUGCUAGAAAUGGUAGCUAAUACCGGAUACGACCCUCGGAGGCAUCUCCAGGGGGUGGAAAGAAUUUCGGUCAAGGAUGGACUCGCGGCCUAUCAGCUAGUUGGUGAGGUAAUGGCUCACCAAGGCGACGACGGGUAGCCGGCCUGAGAGGGUGACCGGGCACACUGGGACUGAGACACGGCCCAGACUCCUACGGGAGGCGGCAGUGGGGAAUAUUGCACAAUGGGCGCAAGCCUGAUGCAGCAACGCCGCGUGAGGGAUGACGGCCUUCGGGUUGUAAACCUCUUUUAGUAGGGAAGAAGCGAAAGUGACGGUACCUGCAGAAAAAGCACCGGCUAACUACGUGCCAGCCGCCGCCGUAA